CGCCGCCGCCCGGCGCAGGGGCCGGGAGCAAGUGCACGCCGCGCGGAGGACGAAGAGGCUGCACGCACAGCCGCUGCCGGGGGUCGGGGCCAAGUGCGCGCCUCGCCGAGGACGAAGAGGCUGGCGUGCCCGGUGGCUCGGCUAGCUCCCGGGUCCCGGCCCCGCCUGGAGGGCUGGAGUGCAAUAGCACCAUCUCGGCUCACUGCAACCUCUGCCUCCCAGGUUCAAGUGAUUCUCCUGCCUUAGCCUCCUGAGUAGCUAGGAUUACAGAUUUAUAGGAGCAUUGUGACUGGACCAAGGACAAAGAAGUUCCCAACCUCCUCAGACCCUCGCUGCUGCCCAGAUGUCUGCCAUGGGGUGGCCAUCAUCGAAUCCACUGAGGGCGCAAAUAGAACAAAAAGGUGAAGAAAAGGUGAAUUCUCUCCUUUCUUGAGCUGGGACAUCCAACUUCUCAGACAUCAGAGCUCCUGGAGGCCUUCAGACUCCGAGACAUUACACCAUUGGCUCACCUGGUCCUCAGGUCUUUGGACUUGGAAUGAAUUACACCAUUGGCUUUCCAGGUCUUCCAGCUUGCAGAUGGCAGAUUGUGGGACUUUUCAGCCUCCAUAACUUUGUCAUCCAAUUCCCAUAAUAAAUCGCCUCUUAUAUCUGUAUCUGUUUGGUUCUGUUCUGGAGAUCCCGGAUUAAUGCAAAUGGAUUAAAAAAAUGCGGCCGGGCACGGUGGCUCAUGCCUGUAAUCC
Molecule: long non-coding RNA, 740 nt
Filed under: Homo sapiens (human)
Lineage: Eukaryota; Metazoa; Chordata; Mammalia; Primates; Hominidae
Description: HSALNT0363332
Source: RNAcentral